Molecule: long non-coding RNA, 4052 nt
Filed under: Medicago truncatula (barrel medic)
Lineage: Eukaryota; Viridiplantae; Streptophyta; Magnoliopsida; Fabales; Fabaceae
Description: lncRNA gene50590
Source: RNAcentral
CUUUUGAUGAAUUUGGGGGAGAUUUGGUGGGAAAGUGGGGGAAAUCUUGCCGUUCUUGGCCAGGGAAGCCACAGGCCAAAUCACGUCGGGAGGGGAUUCGAAGGCAAAAAUCUCCACGAGGCACAGGCCAAAUCACGUCCGGAGGGGAUUCGUAGGCAAAAUCUACAGCACGCGCCCACGUUAUCGAAAUUUUUGUGGUAGGCCAAAUCUCGCCAGGAGCACGUGCUCGGGCCAAACCACGUCGGGGGCAGAAAUUCCUCGCGCGCGCCUGCGCACCCGUAUUUUUAAGGUCAUACCGGUUGAAAUUUUUGUUUCGCGGCCUGGACUAGACCUUCCCCUGCCCAUGCCUAGCCAAGGCAAGGUGGCAUUUUGCAAUUCGGGAGCCAAACGGGGGUUUGCUUUUUCGUUUCUUCGGCAAAUGACGCUUAAUAUUCGCAGUUAACGAUUCCCGCGUGCAAAAUUGCCAAAAUUUCUCGGUGGAGGUCCUUUUGAUGUCCCAAACAUGCGUGAAUUUUUGGGGAAUAAGAUUCGUCCCGUGGAUGGGUGCUCAUUUGAAAAAAAAAGUUGCGAGUUUGGGCGUUUCGGUCGAAAAAUCAAAAUAAAUCGAAACGUUGUCGGUUUUCUACGAAACUUUGCAUAUCCUCUAGAUGUAUUUUUAUUGAGGUGCCUGCAAAAAAUCAGCUCAAAAUUCGAUUUCUAGGUCGAUGUUUUGAUGUCACGCUUUCUUUACUUUUUGGCGCGUAAAAAAUUCAUAUUUAAUCCGUCCCUCGUCGGAAAAUUCUAAUUUUUUUGUGGGAGAUGUUUUUUUUAUUUCCCUAACAUGCCUGCAAAAAAAUCCCGGAAAAAUUCAACGUCUAAGUCACUUUUUCGGGACUUUAUGCCUGCAGCGAAAAUUCACACAUUUUUCUACAAAAUUGGAAAUGGCACAUCAAGCAUAUAUAGGGGGAGCACUUUGCUGGGGCAUGGCUGGGGUGCGCCCAGACACUCCCAGGCACUCCCCAACAGGCUGCUCCCCCAAAUCUGCCCCAUUUUCAUCAAUUUGAGCUGCUUUCAUCAAAUUUUUUUGAUAAAUUGGCCACUUUUGAUGAAUUGAGGGGAGAUUUGGUGGGAAAGUGGGGGAAAUCUUGUCGUUCUUAGCCUGGGCAGCCACAGGCCAAAUCACGUCGGGAGGGGAUUCGUAGGCAAAAAUCUCCACGAGGCACAGGCCAAAUCACAUCGGGAGGGGAUUCGUAGGCAAAAUCUUCAGCGCGCGCCCGUGUUAUAGAAAUUUUUGUGGUAGCCCAAAUCACGACGGGAGCACGUGCUCUGGCCAAAACACGUCGGGAGGGGAUUCGUGGGCAAAAAUCUCCACGAGCCGCAGGCCAAUUCACGUCGGGAGGGGAUUCGUAGGAAAAAAUCUCUAGUGCGCGCCCACGUUAUCGAAAUUUUUGUGGUAGGCCAAAUCACGAUGGGAGCACGUGCUCGGGCCAAACCACGUCGGGGGGCGGAAAUUCCUCGCGCGCGCCUGCGCACUAGUAUUAUUAAGGGCAUACCGGUUGAAAUUUUUGUUUCACAGUCUGGCCUAGACCUUCCCCUGCCCAUGCCAAGCCAAGGCAAGGUGGCAUUUUGCAAUUCGGGAGCCAAACGGGGGUUUGCUUUUUCGUUUCUUCGGUAAAUGACGCUUAAAAUAUUCGCAGUUCACGAUUCCCGCGUGCAAAAUUGCCAAAAUUUCUCGUUGGAGGUCCUUUUUAUGUCUUAAACAUGCGUGAAUUUUUGGGGAAUAAGAUUCGUCCCGUGGAUGGGUGCUCAUUUGAAAAAAAAAGUUGCGAUUUUGAGCGUUUCGGUCGAAAAUUCAAAAUAAAUCGAAACGUUGUCGGUUUUCUACGAAACUUUGCAGAUCCUCUAGAUGUAUUUUUAUUGAGGUUCCUGCAAAAAAUCAGCUCAAAAUUCGAUUUCUAGGUCGAUGUUUUGAUGUCACGCUUUCUUUACUUUUUGGCGCGUAAAAAAUUCAUAUUUAAUCCAUCCCUCGUCGGAAAAUUCUAAUUUUUUGUGGGAGAUGUUUUUUUUAUUUCCCUAACAUGCCUGCAAAAAAUCCUGGAAAAAUUCAACGUCUAAGUCACUUUUUCGGGACUUUAUGCCUGCAGCGAAAAUUCACACAUUUUUCUACAAAAUUGGAAAUGGCACAUCAAGCAUAUAUAGGGGGAGAACUUUGCUGGGGCAUGGCUGGGGUGCGCCCAGACACCCCCAGGCAUUCCCCAACAGGCUGCUCCCCCCAAAUCUGCCCCAUUUUCAUCAAUUUGAGCUGCUUUCAUCAAAAAAAAUUGAUAAAUUCGCCACUUUUGAUGAAUUUGGGGGAGAUUUGGUGGGAAAGUGGGGGAAAUCUUGCCGUUCUUGGCCUGGGCAGCCACAGGCCAAAUCACGUCGGGAGCGGAUUCGUAGGCAAAAAUCUCCACGAGGCACAGGCCAAAUCACAUCGGGAUGGGAUUCGUAGGCAAAAUCUCCAGCGCGCGCCCGUGUUAUCGAAAUUUUUGUGGUAGCCCAAAUCACGACGGGAGCACAUGCUCUGGCCAAAACACGUCGGGAGGGGAUUCGUGGGCAAAAAUCUCCACGAGCCACAGGCCAAUUCAAGUCGGGAGGGGAUUCGUAGGAAAAAACACGUCGGGAGGGGAUUCGUGGGUAAAAAUCUCCACGAGGCACAGGCCAAAUCACGUCGGGAGGGGAUUCGUGGGCAAAUAUCUCCAGCGCGCGCCCACGUUAUCCAAAUUUUUGUGGUAGGCCAAAUCACGAUGGGAGCACGUGCUCGGGCCAAACCAAGUCGGGUGGCAGAAAUUCCUCGCGCGCGCCUGCGCACCCGUAUUAUUCAGGUCAUACCGGUUGAAAUUUUUGUUUCACGGUCUGGACUAGACCUUCCCCUGCCCAUGCCAAGCCAAGGCAAGGUGGCAUUUUGCAAUUCGGGAGCCAAACGGGGGUUUGCUUUUUCGUUUCUUCGGUAAAUGACGCUUAAAAUAUUCGCAGUUAACGAUUCCCGCGUGCAAAAUUGCCAAAAUUUCUCGUUGGAGGUCCUUUUGAUGUCCCAAACAUGCGUGAAUUUUUGGGGAAUAAGAUUCGUCCCGUGGAUGGGUGCUCAUUUGAAAAAAAAAGUUGCGAUUUUGCACGUUUCGGUCGAAAAAUCAAAAUAAAUCGAAACGUUGUCGGUUUUCUACGAAACUUUGCAGAUCCUCUAGAUGUAUUUUUAUUGAGGUGCCUGCAAAAAAUCAGCUCAAAAUUCGAUUUCUAGGUCGAUGUUUUGAUGUCACGCUUUCUUUACUUUUUGGCGCGUAAAAAAUUCAUAUUUAAUCCGUCCCUCGUCGGAAAAUUCUAAUUUUUUUGUGGGAGAUGUUGUUUUUAUGUCCCUAACAUGCCUGCAAAUAAUCCCGUAAAAAUUCAACCUCUAAGUCACUUUUUCGGGACUUUAUGCCUGCAGGGAAAAUUCACCCAUUUUUCUACAAAAUUGGAAAUGGCACAUCAAGCAUAUAUAGGGGGAGCACCUUGCUGGGGCAUGGCUGGGGCGCCCCCAGACACCCCCAGGCACUCCCCCCAAAUCUGCCCCAUCUUCAUCAAUUUGAGCUGCUUUCAUCAAAUUUUUUUGAUAAAUUGGCCACUUUUGAUGAAUUUGGGGGAGAUUUGGUGGGAAAGUGUGGGAAAUCUUGCCGUUCUUGGCCUGGGCAGCCACAGGCCAAAUCACGUCGGGAGGGGAUUCUUAGGCAAAAUCUCCAGCGCGCGCGAAAUUUUUGUGGUAGCCCAAAUCACGACGGGAGCACGUGCUCGUGCCAAAACACGUCGGGAGGGGAUUCGUGGGCAAAAAUCUCCACGAGGCACGGGCCAAAUCACGUCGGGAGGGGAUUCGUGGGCAAAAAUCUCCAGCGCGCGCCCACGUUAUCGAAAUUUUUGUGGUAGGCCAAAUCACGAUGGGAGCACGUGCUAGGGCCAAACCAAGUCGGGGGGCAGAAAUUCCUCGCGCGCGCCUGCGCAGCCGUAUUAUUCAGGUCAUACCGGUUGAAAUUUUUGUUUCGCGGUCUGGACUAUACCUUCCC